CUCUAAUCUGUGAUUUUUGUCUAAGGUCAAGUUUAACAUCUGUUAGUAACAGUUAAAUAUCUUUUACAUCUUUGACUUGAAGAUAUCAUAUUAAACAGACUUUUAGGGCCAAAAGAUGGGUUGGAACUCUUUCUGCCUAUCCUAUGCAUCUGUUAUUGCAGUGUCUUUAGAAGCAGUACAC
Molecule: small nuclear RNA, 181 nt
Filed under: Manacus vitellinus (golden-collared manakin)
Lineage: Eukaryota; Metazoa; Chordata; Aves; Passeriformes; Pipridae
Description: U2 spliceosomal RNA
Rfam family: U2 spliceosomal RNA
About the family: U2 is a small nuclear RNA (snRNA) component of the spliceosome (involved in pre-mRNA splicing).
Source: Rfam by way of RNAcentral